CUCUCUCUCUCUCUCUCUCUCUCUCUCUCUCUCUCUCUCUCAGCUGCAAGACAUCAAAAGGAGAUGCAUCAAGGCAAAGGAAGAGCUGUCGGAGAAUUUGCACGUUAGAUUGAAGUGGAUAAUGUAUAUAGAGAGGCGCCUGUACGAGGCGGACACGCGCGUCUCCAUGCAUCAAGAGAGUGUUCGGUGCCUGGCUGGACUCCUGCAGGUGGUGGAGCAGAUUCACCGCGCCCCGAGGGUCUAUGCCGCAGCCGUCACGGAGGUGGCUCGCCGGCACGCCUUCUCCAGGGCCUUCCUGCAGUGGGCGUCUGAGCUGAGCAGCCAGAGUGGAGAGGUGUGGAGGCGCGAGGUGGAGGCAAGAAGAGGCUUUUCCCAAGACUUCUCCACCCACUUCCUAGCCUCUCUCUUUCCUGGUAUGGAAGAUCUGCCUCCUAAUUUUGCAACCUCUCUACCAUCCCAGUUUGACAUGGCUCUCCCUAAGGUUACCAAGGAAAAUAUAGAUGAAUUGAGAAGACUGCUGCCAGAACUUUCUCACUGUCUGGUCAUUGGUGAGGUUCUGGCAGUUCCCCCUCUGCUUCGCCAUGUCACAGCUGGCCUCAACACACAGGAGGAGAGGAGGAGGAGGAGGAGGAGGAGGAGGAGGAGGAGGAGGAGGAGGAGGAGGAGGAGGAGGAGGAGGAGGAGGAGGAGGAUGAAGAACGAGGAGCAGGAAGACAAGGAGCAGGAGGAGGAUGAGGAGGUGAAAAAGGAGGAGGAGGAAAAGGAAGGCUCCAGGAGAUUACAAGACAAGCACACAAGAUUAUGAGAUGAAAGAAAAGGAGGGAGACGAGGAGGAAGAAGAAGAAUAAGAGGAGGAGGAGGAGGAGGAGGAGGAGGAGAAGAGGUGCUCUAUGAAGACCAAACAGCAUUUCACAGCUCUUCCUGACUACCCAAAGCACAUCAAACUGGACAAGCACAGGUUGGCCUCUCCCCCUCCACCACCACCACCACCACCACCACCAUCACUGACUUUAUAUUAACAGAUUUAUAUAUUGAAGAUAUUUUUCCUUUUAGUUUUGAAGAAGAGGAGGAGGAAGAGGAAGAGGAAGGAGGAGGAGGAGGAGGAGGAGGAGGACGAGGGUUAGGUGUGGCCCUCCCUCCCCCUCCCACACCACUGCAGUCCCAGCCUCUGAUUGGCCAGCCCUCAGCCAAUCAGGAGAGAGACUUUAUGGCCUUGCAGGUGGAGGAAGGCCGAAGGGAACUGGAGGAGGAGAGAAAGAGGCACAGGCUGGAGGUUGAAAACAAAAGGUCUAGAUUUAGAAUGAUGACAACGACCACAGCCACCACCAGCACCUCCCCCACUAGUCUGCCUUUCUCUUCAAGUCCCAGCGAGGAGCACCCGCCCUCCUCCCCCAGCCUCCUCUCUCAACAGAUGGGAGGUGAGAGGGAGAGAAAGAGACAAAGAGAGAAAGAGGGAGAGGACACCCCACAAUUCACACUGGACAGACUGAGAGAGGAACUGAUGAAAGAGAGAGAGAUAGAGAUUGAAGAGAGAAUUGCAAGUGUAAGAGAGGAAGAAAGGAGGAAAUUAGAUGACGAAAAACAGUAUUACGAAUUGUUCAGGUGGUCGAAUGUUCCAGCUAUCGGUUUACUCCAGCCACCCUCACUGAGCAGAUAUGAAAACAAGAGCCGCUGAGAGGUUUGAACUAUUCGUCUGCUGCUUUUAGUGUUUGUGGUGCUGCUCCAAGUUGUUCUCUUCGCUUAUUCCAAGGCCAUCAGUCGUGGCAAGAACCAGUAAAAUCAUACAACUUCAGGCAUUUAAGUACUUCAACAACUCGAUUACUCUUUUUACUGGCAGUGGUAGUGUUCCAGAGAGAGAGAGAGAGAGAGAGAGAGAGAGAGAGAGAGAGAGAGAGAGAGAGAAUU
This is a long non-coding RNA of Scylla paramamosain (green mud crab), 1905 nucleotides long. RefSeq lists it as uncharacterized. The record is from RefSeq and is a predicted model, not a curated record. Lineage: Eukaryota; Metazoa; Arthropoda; Malacostraca; Decapoda; Portunidae. The transcript has 9 exons.